GCUGGGCACGGUGGUGCAUGCUUGUAAUCCCAGUGGUUUGGGGGGCUGAGACAGGAGGAUCACUAGUUCAAAGCCAGCCCCAGCAAUUUAGCAAGGCACUAAGCAACACAGUGGGACCCUGUCUUUA
This 127-nucleotide small RNA is filed under the name Marmota monax (woodchuck). The record is from RNAcentral. Lineage: Eukaryota; Metazoa; Chordata; Mammalia; Rodentia; Sciuridae.